Molecule: small nucleolar RNA, 136 nt
Filed under: Sorex araneus (European shrew)
Lineage: Eukaryota; Metazoa; Chordata; Mammalia; Eulipotyphla; Soricidae
Source: RNAcentral
ACCCUAUUUAAGGCACUCAUUGAGCCUUUGAAUAGGACCCACCAAACUGUCAGAAAGUGCAUGGUAAAAGACACCUCUUUUAGGGUGAAGUAGUGGCAUGUUGUGUUGUUUGGCUUCAGUUAGCAGUAUAACAAGG